Molecule: non-coding RNA, 46 nt
Organism: Macrostomum lignano
Lineage: Eukaryota; Metazoa; Platyhelminthes; Macrostomidae
Source: Rfam
AAAACGGCCCUUGUAAGGGCCACCUCUCUUUCAAUCUCCAUGUAAA